GAAAUGCGAUAAUUAAUGUGAAUUGCAGAAUUCAGUGAAUCAUCGAGUCUUUGAACGCACAUUGCACCCCCUGGUAUUCCGGGGGGUAUGCCUGUCCGAGCGUCAUUGCUGCCCUCAAGCACGGCUUGUGUGUUGGGUCGUCGUCCCCCCCCAGGGGGACGGGCCCGAAAGGCAGCGGCGGCACCGCGUCCGGUCCUCGAGCGUAUGGGGCUUUGUCACCCGCUCUUGUAGGCCCGGCCGGCUGCUGGCCGACGCUGAAAAGCAACCAACUAUUUUUCCAGGUUGACCUCGGAUCAGGUAGGGAUACCCGCUGAACUUAA
This 320-nucleotide unclassified non-coding RNA is filed under the name uncultured Aspergillus. RNAcentral describes it as "sequence contains ITS1". The stretch from base 1 to 105 matches the Rfam family "5.8S ribosomal RNA", at positions 50 to 154 of the family's 154-position model. Lineage: Eukaryota; Fungi; Ascomycota; Eurotiomycetes; Eurotiales; Aspergillaceae. The record is from RNAcentral.